GCGCGGCUCCUCCUUAGGGUCAAUUGGUCAAUGACCCCCCUAAAAUAAUCUCAUAAAAAUACCAAUUUUAUUAAAAAUAUCUUUUAUCUAAAACUUCACUCUGAAAUACUCUCAGCAGUCUGCAUUGGCAAAACAAAUAUAAUAGAUAUAAUAACGUCGCGCCUCGCGCUAUACACAAGCCCGUGGCUGGGCCGUAUUUUAAAUUGUCUACAUACAGUUCUUAUGGCUUAUGGACAAAUGCAUGUAAAAUAGAAAAGAGACGGCAGAUAGCAAUUUCGUGGGCGAGAGUGGGAGUGACCUUUCCGUCGUAUACCUGUAGUAGAGUCGACGGCCUCACGUUUAGUUAGUUACCGUCUGCUUGUUCAAUGAGAAGGUCAUAGACUAUUUUGCAGAACUAAAGGAUAGAAGAAUUGACUUAAAAUAUAAAAAUAUUUAAAGUAAGUUUCGUUUUAAUAAAUUUACAAUUUAUUAUACUAUAAAUAUUCCUAUCUAUAUAUCAGUCAAUAACCUGUUCAUACCAUUUUUCCUAUAUUUUUUAAAAGAUUUACUCUAAAAAAAGACAAAUUUAAUUUUCGGAAAACUAGGGUAAAUAGUAUUGAGUUUUAUCUAAGUCUGUAUUUUUUAUCUAAAAUAUAAAUGCUAAAAGAUCUUUUAAAUACUUUAAAAAAUCAACAGUUUGAAGUUUUCAAACCAAAAUGACCCCCCUGAAGAUUGACCCACGAGCCGCCGCUGUUUAAAACUAAAAUUUGUUAAUAAUGCUCAGUAAUGCAUAUAUUUUGUAUUUUUAGCUUUCCAGAAGAUCCUGCGAAGAAGGCAUGAAGUAUUGAUCAGAUUUGUUAAUAGAGCAGUAUGUUCAAAACAUUUUUUAGAAAAAGAUAUUGACAGAACUUCACUUUCAACUGUUCGUUUGAGAGACUGUGCUGUUCCAAUAGCUUAUAUCACACAGAAUCAGCUGAGAGAAGUGGUCUACAAAAAACCAGGAAGGAAAUGGAAUAUGUGGCUAUGAAAGGCAAAAGAAAGGUUUACAAAGCAAAUGUGACACAUUUUUUUAUAGGAAUAUCAGUAAAUUACAUUAAAAAAAUGUAUGAAAAGAUUUUUUGCAAUAAAAAUGUUUAUAUUUA
Diabrotica virgifera virgifera (western corn rootworm) is the source of this 1121-nucleotide long non-coding RNA. RefSeq lists it as uncharacterized. Lineage: Eukaryota; Metazoa; Arthropoda; Insecta; Coleoptera; Chrysomelidae. The record is from RefSeq and is a predicted model, not a curated record. The transcript has 2 exons.